Molecule: ribosomal RNA, 497 nt
Filed under: uncultured bacterium
Lineage: Bacteria
Description: partial 16S ribosomal RNA
Rfam family: Bacterial small subunit ribosomal RNA
Source: RNAcentral
GACGAACGCUGGCGGCGUGCCUAAUACAUGCAAGUAGAACGCUGAAGAGAGGAGCUUGCUCUUCUUGGAUGAGUUGCGAACGGGUGAGUAACGCGUAGGUAACCUGCCUGGUAGCGGGGGAUAACUAUUGGAAACGAUAGCUAAUACAGCAUAAAAUUGAUUAUUGCAUGAUAAUUAAUUGAAAGAUGCAACUGCAUCACUACCAGAUGGACCUGCGUUGUAUUCGCUAGUUGGUGAGGUAACGGCUCACCAAGGCGACGAUACAUAGCCGACCUGAGAGGGGGAGCGGCCAAACUGGGACGGGGACACGGCCCAGACCCCUGCGGGAGGCAGCAGUAGGGAAUCUUCGGCAAUGGGGGGAACCCUGACCGAGCAACGCCGCGUGAGUGAAGAAGGUUUUCGGAUCGUAAAGCUCUGUUGUAAGAGAAGAACGGGUGUGAGAGUGGAAAGUUCACACUGUGACGGUAUCUGACCAGAAAGGGACGGCUAACUACGUG